CAAAGUAGGCAAAUCCGCUUUGAUAAUGCUGGGAUGUGAUGGGGAGCGAAAUUUAGUAGCGAAGUAGCUGAUUUCACACUGUCAAGAAAAGUCUCUAUCGAGGUUAAAGGUACCCGUACCGCAAACCGACACAGGUGGGUGAGGAGAGUAUCCUAAGGCCAGCGAGAGAACUGUUGUUAAGGAACUCGGCAAAAUGACCCCGUAACUUAGGGAUAAGGGGUGCCACCAUCAGGUGGCCGCAGAGAAUAGGCCCAAGCGACUGUUUACCAAAAACAUAGGUUUCUGCUAAGUCGCAAGACGAUGUAUAGGAGCUGACGCCUGCCCGGUGCUGGAAGGUUAAGGGGAUCUGUUAGAGCAAUCGAAGCAGUGAACUUAAGCCCCAGUAAACGGCGGCCGUAACUAUAACGGUCCUAAGGUAGCGAAAUUCCUUGUCGGGUAAGUUCCGACCCGCACGAAAGGCGUAACGAUUUGGGCACUGUCUCAACAACAGACUCGGUGAAAUUGUAAUUCCGGUGAAGAUGCCGGAUACCUGCGACAGGACGGAAAGACCCCAUGGAGCUUUACUGUAGCUUGACAUUGGGUCUUGGUACUACAUGUACAGGAUAGGUGGGAGGCUUUGAAACCAGGACGCCAGUUUUGGCGGAGCCAUCCUUGGGAUACCACCCUUGUAGUACUGGGACUCUAACCAUAGGCCAUGAAUCUGGUCUUGGGACACUGUCAGGUGGGCAGUUUGACUGGGGCGGUCGCCUCCCAAAAGGUAACGGAGGCGCUCAAAGGUUCUCUCAGUACGGUCGGAAAUCGUACGUAGAGUGUAAAGGCAAAAGAGAGCUUGAUUGCAAGACAUACAGGUCGAGCAAGGAUGAAAAUCGGACUUAGUGAUCCGGUGGUUCUGCGUGGAAGGGCCAUCGCUCAACGGAUAAAAGCUACCCUGGGGAUAACAGGCUUAUCUCCCCCAAGAGUCCACAUCGACGGGGAGGUUUGGCACCUCGAUGUCGGCUCAUCACAUCCUGGGGCUGUAGUAGGUCCCAAGGGUUGGGCUGUUCGCCCAUUAAAGUGGUACGCGAGCUGGGUUCAGAACGUCGUGAGACAGUUCGGUCCCUAUCCGUCGCAGGCGUAGGAAAUUUGAGAAGACCUGUCCUUAGUACGAGAGGACCGGGAAUGGACGUACCUCUGUGUACCAGUUGUCCUGGCCAAGGGCAUGGCUGGG
Molecule: ribosomal RNA, 1207 nt
Filed under: Clostridium sp. HMSC19B12
Lineage: Bacteria; Bacillati; Bacillota; Clostridia; Eubacteriales; Clostridiaceae
Description: bacterial LSU rRNA
Rfam family: Bacterial large subunit ribosomal RNA
Source: RNAcentral